GCCCGUGACGAGGGGUGCCGCCCGUGGGCGGCUGAGAGCAGACCCUUGGAACCUGAUCUAGCCAGCACUAGCGAAGGGACGUCACCAUGACGCACU
This 96-nucleotide non-coding RNA is filed under the name Rothia kristinae. Its description in RNAcentral is "Kocuria kristinae TPP sequence". It matches the Rfam family "TPP riboswitch aptamer (THI element)". From Rfam's summary of the family: Vitamin B(1) in its active form thiamin pyrophosphate (TPP) is an essential coenzyme that is synthesised by coupling of pyrimidine and thiazole moieties in bacteria. Lineage: Bacteria; Bacillati; Actinomycetota; Actinomycetes; Micrococcales; Micrococcaceae. The record is from Rfam by way of RNAcentral.